This 612-nucleotide ribosomal RNA is filed under the name Candelabrum sp. PC0003. RNAcentral describes it as "partial 16S ribosomal RNA". It matches the Rfam family "Bacterial large subunit ribosomal RNA", at positions 1807 to 2608 of the family's 2925-position model. Lineage: Eukaryota; Metazoa; Cnidaria; Hydrozoa; Anthoathecata; Candelabridae. The record is from RNAcentral.
CCAAAAACAUAGCCUUUUAUUUUAAUAUAAGGUGGUGCCUGCUCAGUGGGUGGGGGUUUAGUAUUUGAUAAAUAUAAAACCACUUAAACAGACGCGGUAACUCUGACUGUGAUAAUGUAGCAUAAUCAUUUACCAUUUAAUUGGUGGAGGGUAUGAAUGGCUUUACGAGUAUAAACCUGUCUUAAAUAGAAUGUUUUUAAAAUUGGAGUUGUAGUGAAGAUACUAUAUGAGAUUGUAAGACGAAAAGACCCUAUAGAGCUUUACUAUAGUUACUUUUAUAUUGGAUAAUAUUUUUAUCGAUUGUAUAGUAAUUGGUAGUUUAAUUGGGGUGAUUACCUUUUAUAAUCAACUAAGGUGAAUGAAAAAUAGUUUUGUUUUCUGUAUAAUUUAUGAAUUUAACAGUUAUUAUGGUAGAUUAUAUGACCCAUUAGGUAGAUGUAAAUUUCUAAUGAUCAGCAAAUAAAAGCUACCUUAGGGAUAACAGGAUAAUUUUAUAUUAGAGUUCUCAUCGAUUAUAAAGUUUAUCACCUCUAUGUUGAAUUGAGAUAACCUGAUGAUGUAGAAGUUAUCAAAGGUGGGUCUGUUCGACCUUUAAAAUCUUACAUGAUUUGA